UUAAUUUUAAUUUUAUAUUUUCUAAGAUUCACGACUUUUAUUGACUUUCCAAUUAUAAAUUUCAUUAAGUUUUAUUGCACAUAGAUUCUUCAAUAUUUUUCAUUGUAUCACUUACAUUCCUAACUUUUUCAAUCCAUUCUUAUUUACUAACUCUGAGUAGUUAACAUAUCUUGCAUUUAAUAAUGGUUAUGGGCCAAAAAUCUGUUGGAAUAUUGAGUAUUGAAAAAAGGGAAAAAAUCAUAUAUACCUUACUUAUAUAAAAAAUUUCAUAUUUUACUGCUAUGACAAAAUAAAUACUGAAAAAACUACGUAAACUGAUUAAAAAUACCAAAAGUACUAUAUUAUAAACUUUCCUAAAUUUCAUAUGUAACUAAAAUGCUGAACAUAAUUCAAGGAGAAGGAAUUAAUUGAAAGUGUUGAGAAGGUGCCAAUUCAAAUACAAAAUCAAUCUUGUGGUGUCGUGACAUCAAAAAUGGGGAUAUGAACAAUCAUACUUUGAUGAUGAAGAUUUUAGCAGUUGGUAAUAUAAAAAAAAUCGGUAAAUCUCCUGAUCUUAUUCAUUGUCUAUUUAUUGGAUAUGAUUCCAUAUUCAACAUCACGUUCUACAUCGCCAUAUUUCAUAUCAUGUGUAAUAUAUGCAAUUAGGAUUUUAUCUUGUUCAUUAAUACUUCCUCUCAUAAAAUAAAUAUGCAGUAUUACAUUUUACACAUCAUGAUUUUGGGGAGUAGGUUACCAAUAUUAAUUGCAUAUAACUAUUGAAUAUAAAAUCCUAUAUAAGAUAUCAAAAUGAACAAGAUGUGCAUCAUAUAAUGGGUAAUAUAACUAUUUUGAUAAAAAAAAAAUAAAGGUUAAAGGUAAUGGUAUUAUCAUAUGCAUCUUCACUUUUGGAGAAAUAUAUUUGAAAGAGAACUUAUGCUGUAUUUAAUGAUUAUGAUUUUAUUCAUGGGAAGGCUAAUCUUUUUUAUUCCUCUAUCUGAUUCUUCUCGAUUGGUACGUGUCUUUCAUAGAAAAUUUUCUUUCUUAUGGAAUUUAAUUGAAGAACAUCAUGAUCGAGCUGAUAUAUUUUGUUCAUUUCAGUGUUUUACAUUUAAUCAUGAAAUAUUAUUAAUUGGAUUCUGCAAUGUACACACUAAUUAUUGGUCCUAAAUUUCACCCCUCUUUCAUUUGGAAAAUAGCAUGUCUUGAAGAUGGUUUUGAUCGAGUUUCAUUCCAUGGAUUACAUUGAUUAUAUAUAUUGUGCCUAUGCAUAAAAAAAAAAGAAAAGAAAAGAAAUGGAAAUCAUAAGGGAUAUCAAAUAUUUCUGUUCAGAGGCUUUAUUUGGAAACUUCAGAAAUGGGAUUGAUUAACUAUACCUUAACAAUUCCAGGUAAAAAAGUCAAGAUGUCAAUGUUUUUUGAGUCCCACUUUUUCAUCCUUAUUCUACCAUGUUUAUGGAACUUCUGUAGGUUAGGUUCUACCCGCUCUAUCCUGAAGUUCUUGCAAGUGGAAGUUUAGACUAUGAAGUUCGCUUGUGGGAUUGACAAAUUGAAGAGUGUAUAGGAUCACAUGAUUUUUGUAAUAUCUUCUAAUUUCAGAGUUUCAACAAUAAUUAUCUGCCUAUUUUGUAGGUUCAAAUUCAUUAAUGAGGCUAUGCUCAAUUUUUAUUCCAACAGAUCGUCCUAUAGCUUUUGUCGCCUUUCAUUCCUAAGGGGAAAUUUAGCUGUAGCUGUAGGCCACCAGGUUACAAAUUUCGAAAAUUACAUUGCUGUCAGUUUAAUUUUGGACGCGCUUCAUUGUUGUUGACCUUGUGAUAUGUGACAGGUAUACACGUGGUAUUACAACAAGAGAGGAGAGGCUUCCUUACAAACAAUUAUCCUUAAGACACCGUUCACUCUGAGCUGUAGAUAUUCUGUUUCAAAGGUGCCUAAAAAAUAUAGACGCAGUAAUUUAUUAUCGACAAAUGAUUGUAUUCAAUUUUUCAUUAUUGCAUCUAUUCAAUUUGUU
This 1983-nucleotide long non-coding RNA is filed under the name Olea europaea subsp. europaea. Lineage: Eukaryota; Viridiplantae; Streptophyta; Magnoliopsida; Lamiales; Oleaceae. The record is from RNAcentral.